AAAACGACUCUCGGCAACGGAUAUCUCGGCUCACGCAUCGAUGAAGAACGUAGCAAAAUGCGAUACUUGGUGUGAAUUGCAGAAUCCCGUGAACCAUCGAGUUUUUGAACGCAAGUUGCGCCCGAAGCCUUUGGUUGAGGGCACGUCUGCCUGGGCGUCACGCA
This 164-nucleotide ribosomal RNA is filed under the name Clibadium alatum. Its description in RNAcentral is "5.8S ribosomal RNA". It matches the Rfam family "5.8S ribosomal RNA". Rfam says of the family: 5.8S ribosomal RNA (5.8S rRNA) is a component of the large subunit of the eukaryotic ribosome. It is transcribed by RNA polymerase I as part of the 45S precursor that also contains 18S and 28S rRNA. The record is from RNAcentral. RNAcentral also lists the same sequence under 1 other name. Lineage: Eukaryota; Viridiplantae; Streptophyta; Magnoliopsida; Asterales; Asteraceae.